GAGGAGAUUUCCCACAUCAAGUUGAAAAGGGUUCUGGUUCUUCGUCUCCAUCUUCAGCUGGCGUUGGUAUGUAGUGCUUGCUGCUAAGCAAGGCUAUUAGUUCGGCUUGUUAAAACCUAAUACAGAAACACUCACAAAAAUUCCAAGAAUGAAAAUCCUAGCAAUCAUGGAGCGAGAGAGAGAAUUUCAUACAAAAUCAGUUUAAAAGAUGUCUGAAAUAGCACA
Molecule: long non-coding RNA, 225 nt
Filed under: Gossypium barbadense (sea-island cotton)
Lineage: Eukaryota; Viridiplantae; Streptophyta; Magnoliopsida; Malvales; Malvaceae
Description: long non-coding RNA (GBAR_LNC021844)
Source: RNAcentral